CUUGAACGCUGGCGGCAUGCCUUACACAUGCAAGUCGAACGGCAGCCCGGGUGCUUGCACCUGCUGGCAAGUGGCGAACGGGUGAGUAAUACAUCGGAACGUACCUUAUCGUGGGGGCUCACGCAGCGAAAGCUGUGCUAAUCCCGCAUACGCCCUGAGGGGGCAAGCGGUGGACCGCAAGACCUCGCGCGCUUAGAGCGGCCGCUGCCUGAUUAGCUUGUUGGUGGGGUAAAAGCCCACCAAGGCGACGAUCAGUAGCUGGUCUGAGAGGACGGUCAGCCACACUGGGACUGAGACACGGCCCAGACUCCUACGGGAGGCAGCGGUGGGGAAUUUUGGACAAUGGGGGCAACCCUGAUCCAGCAAUGCCGCGUGAGUGAAGAAGGCCUUCGGGUUGUAAAGCUCUUUUGUCAGGGAAGAAACACCGGCUCUAACACAGUCCGGGAAUGACGGUACCUGAAGAAUAAGCACCGGCUAACUACGUGCCAGCCGCCGCCGUAA
Molecule: ribosomal RNA, 501 nt
Filed under: uncultured bacterium
Lineage: Bacteria
Description: partial 16S ribosomal RNA
Rfam family: Bacterial small subunit ribosomal RNA
Source: RNAcentral